GCCAUUUAAUGGCCUGUAAACCCCUUUGCUGAAGAAAGAACAGGCAAUUAGCAUACUGAGUGGAUUACAAGAUUGCUCUGACUCCUGGAUUAAUGUGUGCACUUAAUCUUCUCUUUGCUAAGCGAUUCUUGGAUAUACAGCUAUUCAAGGGAGACAAAUUUCCCCACCUUCCAAAACACAACAUGCAAAAGGAUUUCUUCCAUGAUGGCAUCAAAACCGAGGUGGAUAUAGGGAUGAGGAGAAGUGGUGCUCCAGUCAGCCCACAGUGUGGGCCACCAGAGGGCAAUGAGGCGUGAGGAGGCACUCAGAAGGUAGUGGUCAGUAGCACGGAUAGACAUUCCAGAGCAAAGGUCAAGCUCAUCAAACAGGAGCAUCUGUCUGGGGCUGGAUUGUCUUCAGUGAUUGAAUGCUGCCUUGUCCUGGAGGAGGCAAGAUCAUUUAACUGCUAUUCUCUUCAGUUCCCUAUGGGAACUCUUUUUUGUGUGUGUCCUGCCUGCCUCAUUGUGUAUACAGCCCUUAAAUUAUAUUUAUGGGUAAAGCCUACAGUGGGAUGUUGUGACGAUAACACAAGCUGCAGAGUGACAGUAAGAAAUAUGGCAGGGAAUUAAGUCAAGAUUGCAGUGUUAAGAGGGUCAUGUCUACAUGGGGGCUGACUUUCAUCAUAGCUAAUAAGAAAUUGUGAAGAAAAAAGUAAGAUGCAGAACUAACUGUAAACAUGAAUAUUUUAGCCUAAAUGAACCAAAGCUACAUAUACUACAAGGACUAUAGCCCCCAAUGUGAGACUAUAAAAAAAAUGAAUAUAUAUUUGCUUUAAGUGCCAUAAAAAAAAAGGCAUAUUACGAACAUUAACGGGCUUUUUUUCUUAAAUCAUGAAUUUCAGUCCAAUGUUUCAGGUUAAUUUACCAUUCAGAUUAUACAAAUAAUUGAACACAAGUUUAAGAUGUGUAGUUUCAUUUGUGGUGCACAAGGUUAUGAACUGUUAAAAUGGGUUCAGCCCUAAUGUUCAAGAUACUUUUUUGUUGUUCAGUUUCACGCAACAUAUUUUAUUACAGGUGUGCUUGGGCAUCCAUAGAUUAAUUGAGAUUUUUAGCAGUAACAAAGGAAAGAUCAAUUAAUGCUCACCAUGUGGUUACCAGAGCAGAUGGCAGGCUCCAGUUAGGUGAGGCAGAGAAAGUAAAAUGAUCUAUAAGUAGUAGGAGAGCAGGUGUCAGCUUGCUGUGAGGGUGUAGGAAAUAGCUUUUGAUUUCUUUUUAUUUUGUUUUGGCUUCUCCCCUUUAAAUAUUUCAUUAAUUUUGUCUAACUCCCUGCGGUCUGUCUUUUCUUAUUUCAUUAACACUUUUGUUAAUAAACACCACACUCUUUUUGCCUGGACUCCUGGCAGUGCUUCCUUUUUAACAUGCCCUUCAUGUUUUCCAAUGCCAGCCAACAUCUAGCUGAAACACACAAACAUACCACGUGACUUCAAGUGACAACUGGUGGAUUACACAUAAAAAACAUUCAUAACACAUUGAUGGAUACUAGUUAAAGUCUAAACUUAAUAACAAAAACAAAAUUAGUACGCAUGUAUAGCCAGCUAGUGCUGAAACAAUUACUCAGACAAUUGAUUAUUUGAUCUACAGAAAAUUAAAAAGAACUUAUGAUAAUUGAUUCAUAGUAAUUAAAAAUCCUUUUGUUUGGAAAAAUGCCAAACACUUGUUAGUUUUGGCCUAUCUAAUAUGAGGAUUUAUUAUUUCCUCAACUUGAAAAUAGGAACCUUUGAUGAGUAUUUUUCACUAUUUUCUUAUAAAUUAUAGGCAAAAACGAUUAAUCAAGAAUAAAUAGGCGAUUAAUCAACAAUGAAAACAUUUGCUAGUUGAAACCAAGCAAGUUCGAAAUAAUAAUUCAAGGUUGACAGUCCUUGACCUGAUAGAUUUUCACUACCUGUGAUGUUAUUCCAUGCUACACACAACACUGAAGGUAUAACAGAGCACAACAUAAACGAAACAUAUAUUAAAAUGCAGGGACUUGUAUAUUUUAUGUUAACAUGGAGCACAGAUUCUCGGUAGAGACUGACUGACUCAGCAGUGACUUAUGUACAUUUGCAGUAAGUUAUGCAGCCAAAUACACACAUUUCCCCCUCCUUGAAAAAUUAGAAAGUUCAUCCAACCUAAACAGAUACAACUGGAUUUCUAACCAUUUUUCUGACUUACAUAUAUUUUUCAUUUGGACUAGUUUCAACCAAUAUUUGUGAAAGUGAGUAACUCUUCCUAAGCCGGUAAACAAAAUAACCAAGACUGUAAUAUGUGAUGUUAUCAAAAGGCAUUGCCUACAGCUCCACCAUUGACUAUAGUUUGGAGACCGAGCAUUUGUUUGAGCUUUUGCUAAACUUUUUAAGCUUUUACAAAUGUUAACUAAAAAUAUCUCUGGUACUAUCAGGAGGCAAUCAGCAGGACCAAAAUUCAAGAGCAGUGGCUCACAGGCUAAGUAUGAAUUUGUGCCAUCUUACCGUAGAAAACUGUGUGUCACACUGAAUCGAACUGAAAUCACCAGUGGUUUACUCAGUAAUGCUGCAAAUUCUCAGUGCAUUGCUGCUGCCAUUUUGACUUUUUGAUUGCCACAUUCAGAGUCACCCUUUUUAAAAAUAUCUUUCAUUCCCAUUGGAGCUCUCAAGGACUACAAGAAACCAUACUGGUAUAGGUCACUGGAAAAACAUUUGGGUUCCAAUAAUUCAGUGGCAAAUAUAUUCUGUUUUAGCACAUAAAAACUCUAAAACUGUUUUCUGCACACUAUGGACACACACCUUUGUAUUCUGCUUAUAAUUUUCCUUCCAAACUCCUCCCCAUCUCUUCUUCUUCUUCUUUCUCUUCAUCUAUUGGUUCUUGGCUCUGGCCACUGCAUAUCAGGUCUGGGCACAGACUAACCGUAUGCCCCACAGGCUCAGUAGGACUCCAGCAAUCUGAGGGCAGCACAUUACCCAAGACAUACUUUAGUGUGGCACAGCAGCCUGAAUGCCAUGUCCGCAGAGAGAGAGAGAAAGAGAAACCACUGGCGUUUGGCCCAUCGUCUGCUUUCAGCAGGUUUUUGGCUCUGUGAAAUCAUUUCGCACCACUAAUGAUGUCCUUUCACAUCUAAUGAUCCAUCCAAGAUCUGUUGGAUAGCCACAGGGAGCAUGUACGCAUAGAGGUCAUGAAUAACCUGGUUGCUAAAGAAUAAGUCUAUCAUUUCAAUUUUGAGUUGUAUUAAAGAUUCCAGCAAGAGACUUAAAGGUAAAGCUUUGAAUUCAGACAUAACUUUGCACUAAAACACAAACGUGUAGAAGCAGGACUGCAUAAAAGUUUGAUGAACUAGGUCAUGAAAUAUGAAAUGGGCGUUAAUAGGUUGCCUUUGGGUGGACCAAGCAUGUAAGUGAGGUGAGUCUCCCUCCUGAAGAAACAACUUACA
Molecule: long non-coding RNA, 3420 nt
Organism: Micropterus dolomieu (smallmouth bass)
Lineage: Eukaryota; Metazoa; Chordata; Actinopteri; Centrarchiformes; Centrarchidae
Exons: 3
Source: RefSeq, a predicted model, not a curated record